UGUGAACUCGAAGAGUAGGGCGGGACACGUGGUAUCCUGUCUGAAUAUGGGGGGACCAUCCUCCAAGGCUAAAUACUCCUGACUGACCGAUAGUGAACCAGUACCGUGAGGGAAAGGCGAAAAGAACCCCGGCGAGGGGAGUGAAAAAGAACCUGAAACCGUGUACGUACAAGCAGUGGGAGCACCUUCGGGUGUGACUGCGUACCUUUUGUAUAAUGGGUCAGCGACUUAUAUUCUGUAGCAAGGUUAACCGUAUAGGGGAGCCGCAGGGAAACCGAGUCUUAACUGGGCGUUAAGUUGCAGGGUAUAGACCCGAAACCCGGUGAUCUAGCCAUGGGCAGGUUGAAGGUUGGGUAACACUAACUGGAGGACCGAACCGACUAAUGUUGAAAAAUUAGCGGAUGACUUGUGGCUGGGGGUGAAAGGCCAAUCAAACCGGGAGAUAGCUGGUUCUCCCCGAAAGCUAUUUAGGUAGCGCCUCGUGAACUCAUCUUCGGGGGUAGAGCACUGUUUCGGCUAGGGGGUCAUCCCGACUUACCAACCCGAUGCAAACUACGAAUACCGAAGAAUGUUAUCACGGGAGACACACGGCGGGUGCUAACGUCCGUCGUGAAGAGGGAAACAACCCAGACCGCCAGCUAAGGUCCCAAAGUCAUGGUUAAGUGGGAAACGAUGUGGGAAGGCACAGACAGCCAGGAUGUUGGCUUAGAAGCAGCCAUCAUUUAAAGAAAGCGUAAUAGCUCACUGGUCGAGUCGGCCUGCGCGGAAGAUGUAACGGGGCUAAACCAUGCACCGAAGCUGCGGCAGCGACACUAUGUGUUGUUGGGUAGGGGAGCGUUCUGUAAGCCUGCGAAGGUGACCUGUGAGGGUUGCUGGAGGUAUCAGAAGUGCGAAUGCUGACAUAAGUAACGAUAAAGCGGGUGAAAAGCCCGCUCGCCGGAAGACCAAGGGUUCCUGUCCAACGUUAAUCGGGGCAGGGUGAGUCGACCCCUAAGGCGAGGCCGAAAGGCGUAGUCGAUGGGAAACAGGUUAAUAUUCCUGUACUUGGUGUUACUGCGAAGGGGGGACGGAGAAGGCUAUGUUAGCCGGGCGACGGUUGUCCCGGUUUAAGCAUGUAGGCUGGUUAUCCAGGCAAAUCCGGAUAAUCAAGGCUGAGGUGUGAUGACGAGGCACUACGGUGCUGAAGUAACAAAUGCCCUGCUUCCAGGAAAAGCCUCUAAGCAUCAGGUAACAUCAAAUCGUACCCCAAACCGACACAGGUGGUCAGGUAGAGAAUACCAAGGCGCUUGAGAGAACUCGGGUGAAGGAACUAGGCAAAAUGGUGCCGUAACUUCGGGAGAAGGCACGCUGGUGUGUAGGUGAAGCCCCUGCGGGUGGAGCUGAGACCAGUCGAAGAUACCAGCUGGCUGCAACUGUUUAUUAAAAACACAGCACUGUGCAAACACGAAAGU
RNAcentral lists this ribosomal RNA (1451 nucleotides) under Klebsiella pneumoniae. RNAcentral's name for it is "partial 23S ribosomal RNA". It matches the Rfam family "Bacterial large subunit ribosomal RNA", at positions 398 to 1838 of the family's 2925-position model. Lineage: Bacteria; Pseudomonadati; Pseudomonadota; Gammaproteobacteria; Enterobacterales; Enterobacteriaceae. The record is from RNAcentral.